Molecule: ribosomal RNA, 525 nt
Filed under: Bifidobacterium bifidum
Lineage: Bacteria; Bacillati; Actinomycetota; Actinomycetes; Bifidobacteriales; Bifidobacteriaceae
Description: bacterial SSU rRNA
Rfam family: Bacterial small subunit ribosomal RNA
Source: RNAcentral
GUAAUGCCGGAUGUUCCACAUGAUCGCAUGUGAUUGUGGGAAAGAUUCUAUCGGCGUGGGAUGGGGUCGCGUCCUAUCAGCUUGUUGGUGAGGUAACGGCUCACCAAGGCUUCGACGGGUAGCCGGCCUGAGAGGGCGACCGGCCACAUUGGGACUGAGAUACGGCCCAGACUCCUACGGGAGGCAGCAGUGGGGAAUAUUGCACAAUGGGCGCAAGCCUGAUGCAGCGACGCCGCGUGAGGGAUGGAGGCCUUCGGGUUGUAAACCUCUUUUGUUUGGGAGCAAGCCUUCGGGUGAGUGUACCUUUCGAAUAAGCGCCGGCUAACUACGUGCCAGCAGCCGCGGUAAUACGUAGGGCGCAAGCGUUAUCCGGAUUUAUUGGGCGUAAAGGGCUCGUAGGCGGCUCGUCGCGUCCGGUGUGAAAGUCCAUCGCUUAACGGUGGAUCUGCGCCGGGUACGGGCGGGCUGGAGUGCGGUAGGGGAGACUGGAAUUCCCGGUGUAACGGUGGAAUGUGUAGAUAUCGG